Long non-coding RNA from Corticium candelabrum, 864 nucleotides. RefSeq lists it as uncharacterized. The transcript is spliced from 3 exons. NCBI's taxonomy places the organism in Eukaryota, Metazoa, Porifera, Homoscleromorpha, Homosclerophorida, Plakinidae. The record is from RefSeq and is a predicted model, not a curated record.
CUGUGAGGCAUAUAGUCAGCCACAUCGUAUGUUGCCUGUGAGCAGUCUAAAUUCAGAAAACACUUCGAAAAAUUAUGUGACUCGAGCAUUUGUUGUGUUCACAAAUCCAUUUCGUAUACUACCAUUACAUAUAAUAGCAUCUUAAUGGAGCUUCAUACUAUGGUUGGAGAAAGAAGGAUGUAUGCCACAGAUUAGCUAACUUGUAACAAGAGUGCAGCAGGAUUUCCUGCACUUUGUGUAGAUUUUUUAGUACAACUGCCUUCUGGCAGCAACUGGCUGUACAUGAUCCACUAGAAUUAUACAUCUGUUGUUAUUCAUAGGGUGUAAUUAAUUUGAUUAACUUUAAACACACAAAGUAAAUGUCACUGAGGUUGCUGAUAUUGUACUCGCUUGAUUAUUACCCCAGUACUCAAGUAAGCCCCCACCCCUACUAUGUCCAAGGCUCUAAGAUUUCCACACCUCUUAGUCCUUUAAAAUUAGUGCUAAUCGGUGCUUUCCACGUGACUGUGCUACAUUUGUGUCUGUAGAAAUGCUAAUAUUCUUCAACUUGUGUAUGCUUGUCGACCACGUGUUGAAGCAACAUGCUGUUUAAGUUAAUAAAUCAAUCACUUCUGCCAAAUAAUAACUUUAGGUGUCAAUGUUUGAGUAAGACCCCAUCCCAUACUUGACCUUUGACUCUGCACAACUAUUGGGGUGGGGUGGGGGUAUACUCAAGUGAGCAUGGUAUUUUAGUUUAACAUGUAAAUCAGGUCUAGUCAAUGCUACCAGAGUAAACAGAUAUAAGAACUACAAUUCACACAACCAUGACACUUCGUACAAUGCAUAGGGAUUGUAUCUAAUUAUACAUAUUCUGAAUGACUGUAA